GGCGGCGGCGGCGGGAGGCGGUGGCGGGAGGCGGCGGGGGGAGCCACGUCUGGCCCGGGCCGCCGCCUGGGCUCACGGCCGGGAGCCCAACUCCGCCCGACGUCCCCCGGCCCCGCGGCCCGCGGCCUCUGCCGCUCGCCAACCUGCGCUGGCAGCGUGGGCUCGUCCCGGCCCCGAAACUUUCACUCGGGAGAGCGAGCGGGAGGCGAGCGGCCAGAACCGCAGGCUCCGCCCGCGCGUCCCCACAGCCCAGCUCCGCGGAGCCCGGGGGCCGGCUCCCCGCCGCCCGCGCGCGUCCGAGGGGCGCUGUCCGGGCCCGGGGCCGGGGACACCGGGCCCGCGUCCCUCCCGCGGCUGAACCCCAAAGGCUCACAAACAAUAAACAAAAGUAACUUUCUUCUCCUCUGAAAUGCGGUAUGGCUGCAAAGCCUUGCGAUCUCUCCGAGGAAGCUUUCUGCGAAAAUAGAUCGUUGUCGGCAGACGUAAGGAUGCACAAAAUCCUGCAAACUUUGUGUCACUGAAGUCCGAUGGCAUUCAGGAGCGGGGGUGGUAGAGAAAAUUUUCACACACAGAAGAUUCGCCGGAUUUAGGAGUGGGUGGGGUGGGGGUUGUCUGGGAGAAAGGGAGGCGGAGAUUAAUGAGCAUUCUCCCUCCCAGGACUGUGAAACUAAGUGGGUUUGAACACAGACGCCAUAGAAAAAAGUUCUAUCACGUUCAGAAACAACAGUGGGGUAGCUGUGACAUCUUUUUCUUUUUAGG
Molecule: long non-coding RNA, 759 nt
Organism: Pipistrellus kuhlii (Kuhl's pipistrelle)
Lineage: Eukaryota; Metazoa; Chordata; Mammalia; Chiroptera; Vespertilionidae
Exons: 2
Source: RefSeq, a predicted model, not a curated record